UUUGGUUAAGUUAGAAAGGGCGCACGGUGGAUGCCUUGACACUAGGAGUCGAUGAAGGACGGGACUAACGCCGAUAUGCUUCGGGGAGCUGUAAGUAAGCUUUGAUCCGAAGAUUUCCGAAUGGGGAAACCCACCAUACGUAAUGGUAUGGUAUCCUUACCUGAAUACAUAGGGUAAGGAAGACAGACCCAGGGAACUGAAACAUCUAAGUACCUGGAGGAAGAGAAAGCAAAUGCGAUUUCCUGAGUAGCGGCGAGCGAAACGGAACAUAGCCCAAACCAAGAGGCUUGCCUCUUGGGGUUGUAGGACAUUCUAUACGGAGUUACAAAGGAACGAGGUAGACGAAGCGACCUGGAAAGGUCCGUCGUAGAGGGUAACAACCCCGUAGUCGAAACUUCGUUCUCUCUUGAAUGUAUCCUGAGUACGGCGGAACACGUGAAAUUCCGUCGGAAUCUGGGAGGACCAUCUCCCAAGGCUAAAUACUCCCUAGUGAUCGAUAGUGAACCAGUACCGUGAGGGAAAGGUGAAAAGCACCCCGGAAGGGGAGUGAAAGAGAUCCUGAAACCGUGUGCCUACAAAUAGUCAGAGCCCGUUAAUGGGUGAUGGCGUGCCUUUUGUAGAAUGAACCGGCGAGUUACGAUCCCGUGCGAGGUUAAGCUGAAGAGGCGGAGCCGCAGCGAAAGCGAGUCUGAAUAGGGCGUUUAGUACGUGGUCGUAGACCCGAAACCAGGUGAUCUACCCAUGUCCAGGGUGAAGUUCAGGUAACACUGAAUGGAGGCCCGAACCCACGCACGUUGAAAAGUGCGGGGAUGAGGUGUGGGUAGCGGAGAAAUUCCAAUCGAACCUGGAGAUAGCUGGUUCUCCCCGAAAUAGCUUUAGGGCUAGCCUUAAGUGUAAGAGUCUUGGAGGUAGAGCACUGAUUGGACUAGGGGUCCUCAUCGGAUUACCGAAUUCAGUCAAACUCCGAAUGCCAAUGACUUAUCCUUAGGAGUCAGACUGCGAGUGAUAAGAUCCGUAGUCAAAAGGGAAACAGCCCAGACCGCCAGCUAAGGUCCCAAAGUGUGUAUUAAGUGGAAAAGGAUGUGGAGUUGCUUAGACAACUAGGAUGUUGGCUUAGAAGCAGCCACCAUUUAAAGAGUGCGUAAUAGCUCACUAGUCGAGUGACUCUGCGCCGAAAAUGUACCGGGGCUAAAUACACCACCGAAGCUGCGGAUUGAUACCAAUGGUAUCAGUGGUAGGGGAGCGUUCUAAGGACAGUGAAGUCAGACCGUAAGGACUGGUGGAGUGCUUAGAAGUGAGAAUGCCGGUAUGAGUAGCGAAAGACGGGUGAGAAUCCCGUCCACCGAAUGCCUAAGGUUUCCUGAGGAAGGCUCGUCCGCUCAGGGUUAGUCAGGACCUAAGCCGAGGCCGACAGGCGUAGGCGAUGGACAACAGGUUGAUAUUCCUGUACCACCUCUUUAUCGUUUGAGCAAUGGAGGGACGCAGAAGGAUAGAAGAAGCGUGCGAUUGGUUGUGCACGUCCAAGCAGUUAGGCUGAUAAGUAGGCAAAUCCGCUUAUCAUAAAGGCUGAGCUGUGAUGGGGAAGCUCCUUAUGGAGCGAAGUCUUUGAUUCCCCGCUGCCAAGAAAAGCUUCUAGCGAGAUAAAAGGUGCCUGUACCGCAAACCGACACAGGUAGGCGAGGAGAGAAUCCUAAGGUGUGCGAGAGAACUCUGGUUAAGGAACUCGGCAAAAUGACCCCGUAACUUCGGGAGAAGGGGUGCUUUCUUAACGGAAAGCCGCAGUGAAUAGGCCCAAGCGACUGUUUAGCAAAAACACAGCUCUCUGCGAAGCCGUAAGGCGAAGUAUAGGGGGUGACACCUGCCCGGUGCUGGAAGGUUAAGGAGAGGGGUUAGCGUAAGCGAAGCUCUGAACUGAAGCCCCAGUAAACGGCGGCCGUAACUAUAACGGUCCUAAGGUAGCGAAAUUCCUUGUCGGGUAAGUUCCGACCCGCACGAAAGGUGUAACGAUUUGGGCACUGUCUCAACCAGAGACUCGGUGAAAUUAUAGUACCUGUGAAGAUGCAGGUUACCCGCGACAGGACGGAAAGACCCCGUGGAGCUUUACUGUAGCCUGAUAUUGAAUUUUGGUACAUUUUGUACAGGAUAGGCGGGAGCCUUUGAAACCGGAGCGCUAGCUUCGGUGGAGGCGCUGGUGGGAUACCGCCCUGAAUGUAUUGAAAUUCUAACCUACGGGUCUUAUCGACCCGGGAGACAGUGUCAGGUGGGCAGUUUGACUGGGGCGGUCGCCUCCUAAAGUGUAACGGAGGCGCCCAAAGGUUCCCUCAGAAUGGUUGGAAAUCAUUCGUAGAGUGCAAAGGCAUAAGGGAGCUUGACUGCGAGACCUACAAGUCGAGCAGGGACGAAAGUCGGGCUUAGUGAUCCGGUGGUUCCGCAUGGAAGGGCCAUCGCUCAACGGAUAAAAGCUACCCGGGGAUAACAGGCUUAUCUCCCCAAGAGUCCACAUCGACGGGGAGGUUUGGCACCUCGAUGUCGGCUCAUCGCAUCCUGGGGCUGUAGUCGGUCCCAAGGGUUGGGCUGUUCGCCCAUUAAAGCGGUACGCGAGCUGGGUUCAGAACGUCGUGAGACAGUUCGGUCCCUAUCCGUCGUGGGCGCAGGAAAUUUGAGAGGAGCUGUCCUUAGUACGAGAGGACCGGGAUGGACGCACCGCUGGUGUACCAGUUGUUCUGCCAAGGGCAUAGCUGGGUAGCUAUGUGCGGAAGGGAUAAGUGCUGAAAGCAUCUAAGCAUGAAGCCCCCCUCAAGAUGAGAUUUCCCAUAGCGUAAGCUAGUAAGAUCCCUGAAAGAUGAUCAGGUUGAUAGGUUCGAGGUGGAAGCAUGGUGACAUGUGGAGCUGACGAAUACUAAUAGAUCGAGGACUUAACCAUAUAAUAUGUA
This 2933-nucleotide ribosomal RNA is filed under the name Bacillus albus. RNAcentral's name for it is "23S ribosomal RNA". It matches the Rfam family "Bacterial large subunit ribosomal RNA". The record is from RNAcentral. Lineage: Bacteria; Bacillati; Bacillota; Bacilli; Caryophanales; Bacillaceae.